AUAAAAGAAGUAAGAAAGAGCGUAUGGGGGAUGCCUAGGCUCUCAGAGGCGAUGAAGGACGUGAUAAGCUGCGAAAAGCUGUGGGGAGUCGCAAAUAGACGCUAUAUCCACAGAUGUCCGAAUGGGGCAACCCACUAAGUCGAAGACUUAGUACCUCGCAAGAGGAGCAAACCCGGAGAACUGAAACAUCUAAGUACCCGGAGGAAGAGAAAACAACAGUGAUUGCGCAAGUAGUGGCGAGCGAACGCGCAAGAGCCCAAACCUGUUUAGUUACGGCUAAGCAGGGGUUAUAGGACUACAUAAUCAAAACCGAAACAGAUUUGAACUGGGUGGGAAACCAGGCCAUAGAGGGUGAUAGCCCCGUAAAAGAGAGUAGAGGAGAGAGGUAGUAUCCUGAGUAGGGCGGGGUCGGAGACGCCCCGUUUGAAUUUGCCGGCACCAUCCGGUAAGGCUAAACACUCCUGAGAGACCGAUAGUGAACCAGUACUGUGAAGGAAAGGUGAAAAGCACUUCGAAUAGAAGGGUGAAAGAAGAACCUGAAACCAUACGCUUACAAGCGGUUGGAGCUCCGCAAUGGAGUGACAGCGUGCCUUUUGCAUAAUGAGCCUACGAGUUACUGUCACUGGCAAGGUUAAGCGACUUAAGUUGCGCAGCCGGAGCGAAAGCGAGUCUGAAUAGGGCGCAUAGUCAGUGGGAGUAGACGCGAAACUUUGUGAUCUACCCUUGGUCAGGAUGAAGUUCCGGUAACACGGGAUGGAGGUCCG
This 764-nucleotide ribosomal RNA is filed under the name Azospira oryzae. Its description in RNAcentral is "bacterial LSU rRNA". It matches the Rfam family "Bacterial large subunit ribosomal RNA", at positions 1 to 776 of the family's 2925-position model. The record is from RNAcentral. Lineage: Bacteria; Pseudomonadati; Pseudomonadota; Betaproteobacteria; Rhodocyclales; Rhodocyclaceae.